This is a long non-coding RNA of Pan paniscus (pygmy chimpanzee), 370 nucleotides long. Lineage: Eukaryota; Metazoa; Chordata; Mammalia; Primates; Hominidae. The record is from Ensembl.
UUUUAAGCCAGUGCUUUGAGUCACCUUUCAUUGAGGUUUCUUCUAUGUGAAGUGCACUGCAUGUAUUUGUAAACCUACUUGUUUUUCUCCUGUUAAUCUGUCUUUUGUUACAGGAGUCAGUCCCAACUACAAAUUUAAGAGAAUCACGGAAACACCCACAAACUUAUGAGGAUCACAGAAAACACCCCUACACCAACUUAUAGCCAAUCUAUUCAACCUGCAUUGUUAGCAGGUUUGAUUGUCAAGUUACUAUCCAAGAGCAGAAUUCUUUCUGGAGCCUCCUCACUAAAGUUCUCUGUACUUGUGGAUCAUUAAGACAAGGACACCAACUGAGAACUGUUGCUAAUUGCUUGACCACAGGUUCCAAUGC